GAUGAACGCUGGCGGCGUGCCUAAUACAUGCAAGUCGAGCGAACGGACGAGAAGCUUGCUUCUCUGAUGUUAGCGGCGGACGGGUGAGUAACACGUGGAUAACCUACCUAUAAGACUGGGAUAACUUCGGGAAACCGGAGCUAAUACCGGAUAAUAUUUUGAACCGCAUGGUUCAAAAGUGAAAGACGGUCUUGCUGUCACUUAUAGAUGGAUCCGCGCUGCAUUAGCUAGUUGGUAAGGUAACGGCUUACCAAGGCAACGAUGCAUAGCCGACCUGAGAGGGUGAUAGGCCACACUGGAACUGAGACACGGACAAGACUACUACGGGAGGCAGCAGUAGGGAAUCUGCCGCAAUGGGCGAAAGCCUGACGGAGCAACGCCGAGUGAGUGAUGAAGGUCUUCGGAUCGUAAAAAUCUGUUAUUAGGGAAGAACAUAUGUGUAAGGAAAUGUGCACAGCUUGACGGUACCUAAUCAGAAAGCCACGGCUAACUACGUG
Molecule: ribosomal RNA, 497 nt
Filed under: uncultured bacterium
Lineage: Bacteria
Description: partial 16S ribosomal RNA
Rfam family: Bacterial small subunit ribosomal RNA
Source: RNAcentral